GGUGGGAGCCGACACCCCAGACGGGACAGGCCCUGUGCCCAUCCCCUGUCUCCUUUCCGCAGGUUCGAGCGGUUCCAGCUGGCAUGUGGGGACGCCAAACUCUACGUGUGGGCUCACUCCUACCCCGACCAGGCCCUCUGCGGCGCCCGGCUCCCCGCCCCCCUGGAAUACAGGGGCACCAAUGUCACCCUGAGCUACAGGCGCAGCUGGACGGUGGCAGAAGGAUUCCAGCUCCGCUACAGGAGAGGUCCCCUCCUCUCUGCCUCACCUCCAUCUUGUAACCUGACGCUGGAUGAUUUCUAUGGCGUCUUCUCCCCGCCUGCCUGGCCUGGGGUUCCUGCUGGAGCCCUCAUCCGGUGCCGCUGGGCCCUGGACCCCCAUGACAGCCGCCCCCUCACUGUGCUCUUCACCACGCUGGACCUGGCUCCGACCGACUCCCUAGAGGUCUACGAGGAUCACCCAGACCUGUCGGCCGAGCCGCGGCUGCUGCGGCGCGUGGAUGCAGCCAGCAACGGCCAGCCAGUGGCGGUGGAGUCACCCUCCAGCCGAGCGUGGGUGGCCUGGCAGGGCCUGCAGGGCCGCGGCUUCAACGCCACCUACCACGUGCGUGGGUUCUGCGUGCCCUGGCAGCAGCCCUGCGGCCGGGGGGAUGAGGCCCGGUGCUAUGGUGAGGCGGAGUGCUGCGAUGGCAUCUGGCACUGCCCAGAUGGGGCGGAUGAGGAGCACUGCCCAGGCUGCCCAGAAGGGAGCUACCCCUGCCACGAUGGCGCUGGGGGCCCCUGCUACGCCCCCACUGACCGGUGCAACUACCAGACGCUGUGCCCGGAUGGGGCAGACGAGAGGGGCUGCUGGCGCUGCCAGCCCGGCAACUUCCGCUGCGGGGACGGGCGCUGCGUCUACGAGGCCUGGCGCUGCGACGGGCAGCCCGACUGUGCCGAUGCCUCCGACGAGGCCUCCUGCCCCUACACUCUGCCCCGCAAGGUGGUGGCAGCUGCAGCCAUCGGCAGCCUGGUCUGUGGCCUCCUGCUGGUCAUCGCGCUGGGCUGCACCUGCCGCCUCUACGCCGUGCGCAGCCGGGAGUACAGCCUCUUCGCCCCCCUGUCCCGCAGCGAUGCCCAGCUGGUCCGGCAGGAGGCGCCACCGUCCUACGGGCAGCUCAUUGCACAGGGGCUGGUCCCACCCCUCGAGGACUUCCCCACCGAAAGCCCCGGGCAGACGUCGCUGUUGGGGAAUCUACGCUCUCUGCUCCAUCUGCUCCAGCAC
This 1263-nucleotide long non-coding RNA is filed under the name Chelonoidis abingdonii (Abingdon island giant tortoise). Its description in RNAcentral is "lncRNA (ENSCABG00000012343.1)". The record is from RNAcentral. Lineage: Eukaryota; Metazoa; Chordata; Testudines; Testudinidae.